This is a long non-coding RNA of Artibeus jamaicensis (Jamaican fruit-eating bat), 713 nucleotides long. RefSeq lists it as uncharacterized. The transcript is spliced from 3 exons. Lineage: Eukaryota; Metazoa; Chordata; Mammalia; Chiroptera; Phyllostomidae. The record is from RefSeq and is a predicted model, not a curated record.
CACGUGGUCGCUGUCUUGGGUUGUUGCCGAGCUCCUAGCAGUGGAGUUUUUUUCCUGCUGAUGUUGACUGGAAACGUGGGCGGGCUCAGCGCCUUCGACCCCAGCUUUACGAAUUCUGCCCUAGCUGUAUCUUCCCGUCUGUCGUGUCUAUCGCCACCAUGACCGAAAUAGAAAAACCCAUUCUAAAAUUGAAUCUCAAGGAACCCGGAAUAGCUGAAACACUCUUGAAAAAGAUCGAAGUUGCAAGAAUACUCUUCCUGAUUUCAAAACUUACUAGAAAGUUACAAUGAAGAAACUGAGGCUGAGACAGAGACUGAUCCAAGGUCACAGAGCCACCAAGACUUGAAUCUUGUCCUCUGACUCCAAAACCAGACUUUCAUUUUGGUCCUGGUGAUGUACAGUGGGUAAGGAAGGAGCUGGGUUUGAAGAGGAGGUGGAUUCACUUGACUGUAUCUAGAUUCAUUCCAGACUUUUUUCCUUGUAUCCACUGGCAGAACUUCCUCCUUUUCUCUCUGCCUCCUUUUCUGAUUCACUCUCCAUUAGUGGCUGCUGGCUCCUGAGAAUGUGAUGCCACAGGGUGGGGUAGGCUGUAGGGGUGGGAAGGGAGACCCACAAGUGCAGGCAGUCUUUAAUAAACAAAGUUUUUGAUUGCCCUUUAUAUGCCAGGCAAUGUUUGGAGGCUGUAGUCCUGUUGUGAAUAAAACAGACCUUGU